ACAGUGGCAUAAACCUAUAAUUCCAGCUACUCAGAUGGCUGAGGCCAAAGGAUCACUUGAGCCCAAGAGUUCUGGGCUGCAGUGUCCUAUGCUGAUCAGAUGUUCACAUUUAAUUAACAUCAAUACAGUGACCUCCUGGAAGCAGGCAACCACCAGGUUACCUCUAAGGAGGGGUGAACCAACUCAGAAACAGAGCAGGUUAAAACUCCCAUGCUGAUCAGUAAUGGGGUUAUACCUGUGAAUAGACACUGCACUCCAGCCUGGGCAACAUAGCAAGACCCCCAU
RNAcentral lists this signal recognition particle RNA (285 nucleotides) under Carlito syrichta (Philippine tarsier). RNAcentral's name for it is "Metazoan signal recognition particle RNA (ENSTSYG00000025812.1)". It matches the Rfam family "Metazoan signal recognition particle RNA". Rfam says of the family: The signal recognition particle (SRP) is a universally conserved ribonucleoprotein. It is involved in the co-translational targeting of proteins to membranes. Lineage: Eukaryota; Metazoa; Chordata; Mammalia; Primates; Tarsiidae. The record is from Rfam by way of RNAcentral.